This 687-nucleotide ribosomal RNA is filed under the name Enterobacter sp. RNAcentral describes it as "bacterial SSU rRNA". It matches the Rfam family "Bacterial small subunit ribosomal RNA", at positions 55 to 733 of the family's 1533-position model. The record is from RNAcentral. Lineage: Bacteria; Pseudomonadati; Pseudomonadota; Gammaproteobacteria; Enterobacterales; Enterobacteriaceae.
AUGCAAGUCGAGCGGUAGCACGGGGAGCUUGCUCCUGGGUGACGAGCGGCGGACGGGUGAGUAAUGUCUGGGGAUCUGCCUGAUGGAGGGGGAUAACUACUGGAAACGGUAGCUAAUACCGCAUAACGUCGCAAGACCAAAGAGGGGGACCUUCGGGCCUCUUGCCAUCAGAUGAACCCAGAUGGGAUUAGCUAGUAGGUGGGGUAAUGGCUCACCUAGGCGACGAUCCCUAGCUGGUCUGAGAGGAUGACCAGCCACACUGGAACUGAGACACGGUCCAGACUCCUACGGGAGGCAGCAGUGGGGAAUAUUGCACAAUGGGCGCAAGCCUGAUGCAGCCAUGCCGCGUGUAUGAAGAAGGCCUUCGGGUUGUAAAGUACUUUCAGCGAGGAGGAAGGCAUUAAGGUUAAUAACCUUAGUGAUUGACGUUACUCGCAGAAGAAGCACCGGCUAACUCCGUGCCAGCAGCCGCGGUAAUACGGAGGGUGCAAGCGUUAAUCGGAAUUACUGGGCGUAAAGCGCACGCAGGCGGUUUGUUAAGUCGGAUGUGAAAUCCCCGGGCUCAACCUGGGAACUGCAUUCGAAACUGGCAAGCUUGAGUCUUGUAGAGGGGGGUAGAAUUCCAGGUGUAGCGGUGAAAUGCGUAGAGAUCUGGAGGAAUACCGGUGGCGAAGGCGGCCCCCUGGA